RNAcentral lists this long non-coding RNA (2028 nucleotides) under Papio anubis (olive baboon). Its description in RNAcentral is "lncRNA (ENSPANG00000042071.1)". The record is from RNAcentral. Lineage: Eukaryota; Metazoa; Chordata; Mammalia; Primates; Cercopithecidae.
GAAAUUCAUAUUUCCAGGCCUAUUUCAGACAUAUUGAAUAAAAAAUUUGGGGGGUGGGCCCAGCAAUCUGUGUUUUAACAAGCCCUUCAAAUUAUUCUGGUGCACACUAAAAUUUAAAAACCAUGUUUUCUGAGGCUUGAGUUAUCAACCCUAACUUCAUAUUGAAAUAAUCUGGGGAGCUUUUUGCAAACACCAAUACCUGCGCCCAACCUCAGGCAAACUAAAUCAGAGUUUGAACAAAUACAUUGGCAGGUGAUUCUAAUGUGUCUUGAAUUGUAGCUCCCAUAAUUCCCACGUGUCAUGGGAGGGACCCAGUGGGAGGUAAUUGAAUCAUGGGGGUGGGUCUUUUCCAUGCUCUUCUCGUGGUAGUCAAUAAGUCUAAUGAGAUCUGAUGGUUUUAUAAAGAGUUCCUCCCUACACAAGCUCUCUCUUGCCUGCCACUACAUGACUCUGCUCCUUAUUCGCCUUCAGCCGUGAUUAUGAGGCCUCCCCAGCCAUGUGGACCUGGCUACGUCUCUCAGCCCCAUGGAAGUAUGUCACCAGUAGAGACAUCCUGGCCACUUUCGCUAGUUUCCUGGAAUUAUGAGCCUAGAAGAAAGCUAAGUGUCGAAAGACCGUAUGACUUCUUCAAGAGAACGUUCGAGCAGAACAACAAUAAUGGAACUGGCUGGAUAUCUAAGACUGAAGCUUACAGAAGGAAGAUCUAGAAAUUCGCAAGCAAGAAACUAAAAAAGCUUCUAUGUUCUGAAAGAAUGUUUUAUUUCUUGUAGCUGCAGAGCUAAGAUUUCUGAGAGCCAAAUCUAAAAUUGGAUCCUAUGGGUGACUGAAUAACAAUGAAAGCUGAACUCACAGUGAGCCUCAUCAAGCCUCUUUCGUAAAAGUUAAAGUGUUGCCUGGAAAAGAAUGGGGACAUGAAAAUUGGAACAGGGCACUUGGGGAGAUUCUAAAGGGAAGGACAGGCCAUUAUUCUUGAGUGGCAGUUGCAGGCAGAUGCUGACCAGAUGGUGGGUACGAGGCACACAGCAGUGUCUGUGUCUGGCAAGGUCUUGAGGACAACCCACUUCAGUGCUGCUGGCUGAGAUUGUAGGUACUGGGCUUCUUGACCUGCUCUUUCCCUAGCCCAUUUGAUAGCGAUGAAACCUUUAAUCCCCGUAUUGAAAUACAAAGAACAACUUCCAUUUGCCUGAAUGAACACUGACUGAUACAUGACCAAGCAUCAGUUACCCAAACAAUUAGGAAACUUGUUAAUAUGAGACGCUCACUUCUGAACAAUGUUAAGCAAAAGGAUCAUAUAGACAUGAAAAGUAAGUGAUGCUCCUAAACCAAGUAGGAGUGAGUGGAUAUGAGCGAGUGCUUCCAGCCAUGUGCACUAUAAAUCACAUAAUAGGAUUCAUUCCUAUAUGUUUAGUGGACAGAUACUGAGGAAAGAAAUUCUGUCUGAAUUACGAACUUUUGGGUUUUCUUGUAGACCAAGUUCUUGUCCUAAUGCCUGGCACACCUGAACGCUCAAUAAAUGUUUAUUUAGCAUUUGGAUUUGCCUGGGCAGGAUGAAUCCCUCCCUGUCCAGUUACUAUUAACAACUUAAUAGUCACUAGUUAAUAUUAUCAACAAUAAUCAACAAUGUAUCAUUAUCACACUAAAAGUCUCAAAGUCUACCUGUCUCACAAAGAGCUUCAGGCUGGGUCACAAAUGUGUUUAUCACUUCACCUGGUGACAUAUUUCCUCAUCUAGUAGAUAAUAUCUAGGAAGAUAUUUGCUGCUAUUAAAGUUCAAGAAAGAAUACAGGCCGGGUAUGGUGGCUCACACCUGUAUCUUGUGCAGUGUAAAGCAGUUCAACUUCCACUUCCUAUGUGCAAGUGUGCACAUUUCUAAACGAGAAUUUUAAAACUUAGAUACAUUCAGUUACAACUUGUUUACCAAAAUGUAUGUGAAGGUAUUUUGGAACAAGAACAUCCUCUUUCUACUGUCAAGAUUAUUUUUGUUUUAAACAUGAUAUAUUGUGAUUUCAAACUAAGUAGAUGUAUCAGG